AUUCAAAUAGCUUAUAAAGAGCAUAAUAUUGAAGAUAUUAAGGUGAUAGUUUUAUCUUUGGAUA
RNAcentral lists this transfer RNA (64 nucleotides) under Dicerca corrugata. RNAcentral describes it as "tRNA-Phe". Lineage: Eukaryota; Metazoa; Arthropoda; Insecta; Coleoptera; Buprestidae. The record is from RNAcentral.